AGUGAACGUUGGCGGCGUGGAUUAGGCAUGCAAGUCGAGCGAGAACCGUAGCAAUACGGGGAAAGCGGCGAAAGGGACAGUACUGUGUAGGUACCUACCCCGGGGUCUGGGAUAGCUGCGGGAAACUGCAGGUAAUACCGGAUAAUGUCUUCGGACCAAAGGUGUGAUUCCACCUUGGGAGGGGCAUGCAUCCUAUUAGCGUGUUGGCGGGGUAACGGACCACAAAGGCAACGAUGGGUAGCGGGUGGGAGAGCACGACCCGCGUCCUUGGGACUGAGAUACUGCCCAGACACCUACGGGUGGCUGCAGUCGAGGAUCUUCGGCAAUGGGCGAAAGCCUGACCGAGCGACGCCGCGUGCGGGAUGAGGGCCUUCGGGUUGUAAACCGCUGUCGUAGGGGAGGAAAUUCAGGAGGGUUCUCCCUUCUGUUUGACCUAUUCUAGGAGGAAGGACGGGCUAAGUUCGUGCCAGCAGCCGCCGUAA
RNAcentral lists this ribosomal RNA (482 nucleotides) under uncultured bacterium. Its description in RNAcentral is "partial 16S ribosomal RNA". It matches the Rfam family "Bacterial small subunit ribosomal RNA", at positions 30 to 523 of the family's 1533-position model. The record is from RNAcentral.